AUGAUUAUAAGCGUCACAUAUAUAUUAUGUCGAAAAUUUAUUUUUCCCAUGGUUGGCGUCCCGGCAAGUCCCUAUGUGGGCUUGGUCCGUCGUACGACCGUGGAGAUGGCGCAUGGUCAAGGGUCUGUUCCUUCCAAUGAACUAUCGAUUUGUCAGUUAGCUGAGCGACAUCUAUAUGAGCCUAAUACUAGUGAAGAGGUCAACCCAGUGAUCAGACAGCAGGUGCUCACACAUGCGAAUUUGACGCGCCAUCCUCGUGGUUGGAAUGUGGGGUCUACUCUUAGUGACUAUUCUUUUCAUCCACUAGCGCCUUAUCCUAAACCUGAUCAUGAAGCCUACACCCUAGGGACCAGGAUGGUAGCAAAAGGUCUAGGUUGGGAUGGUCACACAGUCGAGUAUGUUCCGCAACCCAAAGGCUAUGUUGAGUGGGGCAUCUCUAUAUUGAAUAACCACUCGUUUUGUUUGAAAGGAGAAGCGGAGAACACCGUUUACAUAUAUGGGGCCAUUUACUGCUCCCUCGGUGAAUAUGAAGUUUCAGAUUCGUUACUGAGGUCACUACUGGAAAGAUGGGAUCCGGAAACAAAUACUUUUCUUUUUCAUCUGGUGAACGCACCGUGA
This 618-nucleotide ribosomal RNA is filed under the name Triticum aestivum (bread wheat). RNAcentral's name for it is "partial small subunit ribosomal RNA". The record is from RNAcentral. Lineage: Eukaryota; Viridiplantae; Streptophyta; Magnoliopsida; Poales; Poaceae.